UCCUACGGGGGGCAGCAGUGGGGAAUAUUGCACAAUGGGGGAAACCCUGAUGCAGCAACGCCGCGUGAGUGAAGAAGUAUUUCGAUAUGUAAAGCUCUAUCAGCAGGGAAGAAGAUGACGGUACCUGAUUAAGAAGCCCCGGCUAACUACGUGCCAGCAGCCGCGGUAAUACGUAGGGGGCAAGCGUUAUCCGGAUUUACUGGGUGUAAAGGGAGCGUAGACGGCAUAGCAAGUCUGAAGUGAAAGCCCAAGGCUCAACCAUG
Molecule: ribosomal RNA, 263 nt
Filed under: uncultured bacterium
Lineage: Bacteria
Description: partial 16S ribosomal RNA
Rfam family: Bacterial small subunit ribosomal RNA
Source: RNAcentral